This 749-nucleotide ribosomal RNA is filed under the name uncultured methane-oxidizing archaeon. RNAcentral's name for it is "bacterial SSU rRNA". It matches the Rfam family "Archaeal small subunit ribosomal RNA", at positions 105 to 859 of the family's 1478-position model. The record is from RNAcentral.
UAACUUGCCUUGGGUCCGGGAUAACCCCUGAGAAAUUGGGGACAAUACCGGAUAGGGCAUCGAUAGCUGGAAUGCGCGAUGUCCAAAAGCUGAGGCGCCCAAGGAUAGGUCUGCGGCCGAUUAGGUUGUUGUUGAUGUAAUGGAUCAACAAGCCUGCAAUCGGUACGGGUUGUGAGAGCAAGAGCCCGGAGAUGGGUUCUGAGAAAAGAACCCAGGUCCUACGGGACGCAUCAGGCGCGAAAACUUUACAAUGUGCGAAAGCACGAUAAGGGAACUCUGAGUGCCUCCUAUGGAGGCUGUUCAGGUGUCUAAAAAGCACUUGAAGUAAGGGCUGGGUAAGACCGGUGCCAGCCGCCGCGGUAACACCGGCAGCCCAAGUGGUAGCCACGAUUAUUGGGUCUAAAGCGUCCGUAGCCGGCCAGGUAAGUUCUUUGGGAAAUUUAACCGCUCAACGGUUAAGCUUUCAGGGAAUACUGCUUGGCUUGGGACCGGGAGAGGUCAGAGGUACUUCAAGGGUAGGGGUGAAAUCCGUUAAUCCUUGAGGGACCACCAGUAGCGAAGGCGUCUGACCAGACCGGGUCCGACGGUGAGGGACGAAGGCUAGGGUCGCGAACCGGAUUAGAUACCCGGGUAGUCCUAGCUGUAAACGAUGCGGGCCAGGUGUUGGCAUUACUGCGAGUGAUGUCAGUGCCGAAGGGAAGCCGUUAAGCCCGCCAUCUGGGGAGUACGGUCGCAAGGCUGAAACUUAA